RNAcentral lists this long non-coding RNA (605 nucleotides) under Prunus persica (peach). Its description in RNAcentral is "long non-coding RNA (PPER_LNC001906)". The record is from RNAcentral. Lineage: Eukaryota; Viridiplantae; Streptophyta; Magnoliopsida; Rosales; Rosaceae.
CCCCAAGUAUUCAAUUCGUUAUAGUCAAUAUAUCGACAUUUUUGGGAUAAUAUAUAUCCUUCACGCGCAUGCAGUAUUUGAGCAAUUUAUAAUAUAGCGAUAUGAAACUGAAAAGGAAUGAAAAAUUCUGAGCCUCCAUCCCUCUCCUCUCCGUUUCAUCCCUGAUGUCAGACCUGCAUUUCAGUCUCAAUCUCCAACGUAACUUACGCACGAGGAUUUUCUUUUCAGACUCCUUUUUGAGCAAACUACAUAUGUUCUGAAUAUUUUAUUGUUUUGGGCUUUCAUUUGAUUAUAAACUUUGGCUCUCGUCCACUGACUAUAGUGCAAGAGUUGUUGAACUGACCUGGUAUCAAACUAAAUUUGCUUUGGUUGGUGACAAGUAAAUUAUUAGAAAAAAGACUUGCUGAGUAGUUGUUUUGUUUCCUGGGGUUUGUCCCUACUCUGCAAGGUCAUUUUCUAACAAUUUACUUGUCACCAACCAAAGCAAGUCUUUUUCUAAUAAUUUGCUUGUUUCUUGGGGUUUCUCCCUACUCAGCAAGUCUUUUUCUAAUUUUUUUUUUUCUGUUAGACACAAAAUUGUCACAAAUAAUUCAUGCAAACGUCAA